AAUUCGAUUAGUUUGAUCAUGGCUCAGGACGAACGCUGGCGGCGUGCUUAACACAUGCAAGUCGAGCGGUAAGGCCCUUCGGGGUACACGAGCGGCGAACGGGUGAGUAACACGUGGGUGACCUGCCCUCCACUCUGGGAUAAGCCUGGGAAACUGGGUCUAAUACCGGAUAUGACCACAUGUCGCAUGGUGUGUGGUGGAAAGCUUUACGUGGUGGGGGAUGGACCCGCGGCCUAUCAGCUUGUUGGUGGGGUAAUGGCCUACCAAGGCGACGACGGGUAGCCGGCCUGAGAGGGCGACCGGCCACACUGGGACUGAGACACGGCCCAGACUCCUACGGGAGGCAGCAGUGGGGAAUAUUGCACAAUGGGCGAAAGCCUGAUGCAGCGACGCCGCGUGAGGGAUGACGGCCUUCGGGUUGUAAACCUCUUUCAGCAGGGACGAAGCGAGAGUGACGGUACCUGCAGAAGAAGCACCGGCCAACUACGUGCCAGCAGCCGCGGUAAUACGUAGGGUGCGAGCGUUGUCCGGAAUUACUGGGCGUAAAGAGCUCGUAGGCGGUUUGUCACGUCGGCUGUGAAAACCCAUCGCUCAACGGUGGGCUUGCAGUCGAUACGGGCUGACUUGAGUACUGCAGGGGAGACUGGAAUUCCUGGUGUAGCGGUGAAAUGCGCAGAUAUCAGGAGGAACACCGGUGGCGAAGGCGGGUCUCUGGGCAGUAACUGACGCUGAGGAGCGAAAGCGUGGGUAGCGAACAGGAUUAGAUACCCUGGUAGUCCACGCCGUAAACGGUGGGUGCUAGGUGUGGGUUUC
RNAcentral lists this ribosomal RNA (813 nucleotides) under uncultured bacterium. RNAcentral's name for it is "bacterial SSU rRNA". It matches the Rfam family "Bacterial small subunit ribosomal RNA", at positions 1 to 830 of the family's 1533-position model. The record is from RNAcentral.